Molecule: long non-coding RNA, 429 nt
Organism: Anoplophora glabripennis (Asian longhorned beetle)
Lineage: Eukaryota; Metazoa; Arthropoda; Insecta; Coleoptera; Cerambycidae
Exons: 2
Source: RefSeq, a predicted model, not a curated record
UGACAUUGCUGUAGUCAACAACCGCUGUUCCUGUCUCCUAAAAGUGAAACUGUGAUGUAAAGUGUAAAUCUAUCGGCUCGAUUCUCGUAGAAAUUUCAGAUUGCACAACUGAUAACGGCCUGCUCGAACGAGAGAUUGGCAUCAAAUAAUUAUCCUCCGUUGGAGUCAAUUAUUUCCUCGGAAAAUCUUAAUCAAAAGAUAAUGUUUGUGACCCACCCAACAGAUCUCCGGAUUCAACAUCAUUAGAUUUCUUUAUGAGGCUGCUGUGAAUCUUUCUUAGCAAAUUUAAGAAGUAAAGCAUGGUGCAGCCAUCUAGGUCUUCGGAUUAGAUUUUUUUCUUUGGGGAAAUAAAUUAUGUGUAAUUUAAAAUACUCAUUAUAAUAUUUUGACUCUUAGAUGAAGAAAUAAAAGCAAUUUGUUAUUUAUUGA